AGCUCCCGCAAGCCCCCUCUGUGUUCCCUUUGUUCCCCUGUUGUGACGACAUCGCCAGGAGCCCCACUUGUGAGGUGACCAUAGCCUGCCUAGUGACCGGCUAUUUCCCGGAGCCCGUGAACGUCAAGUGGAAUUCCGGCAGCGUGACCAAGGGGAUCAAGACCUUCCCAGCCAUGGCACAGAGCAGUGGCAAGGCCUUCACCCUCGUCAGCCAGCUCACCAUCCCUGCCUGGGACCUGGCGCACAACACCUACCAGUGCAGUGUGGAGCACACUCCCUCCCGUAAAAAGAUAGAGGUGGAGAUCACGAACGCAGACAUCAGCCUCCGCUGGGAGCACAACGGCUCCAUAGUCCCCGCCUCCCAGUACAGCAGUGGCCCCGUCUUCAGAUCUGGCCAGGCCUACUCUGCUCAGAGCAUCUUGAGACUCCCCAGGUCCAAGGGGGAAGGAGAAGCGGGGCCCCAAUAUGUCUGCCUGGUGUCGCACAUGAUGCUGAAUGAAACCUUGAAGGUCAAGGUGAAGCCACAGAAUUGUGGUGGCAACUGUAAUCGACACCCUCUGGAGGUCUUUCUCCUUCCCCCUUCCCUGGAGGACCUCUACAUAGCACAGAACGCCACCAUCACUUGUUUGGUGAGUGGCAUGGAGACCCCUGGCAGCCUGGAGGUCUCCUGGAGCCGGGGUAGCGGGGGCCCAUUGGACGUGGUCUCCAGGGAGCCGGUGCUGCAGGAAAAUGGCACUUACAGUGCAACCAGCAUCCUGCGGGUGUGUGUGGAGGAGUGGCAGGCAGGGGAGGAGUUCACCUGCACCAUGAAACACCGAGACAUCCCGUCGGCCAUCGUCAAGACCAUCCUCAAGAUACAUG
Non-coding RNA from Terrapene triunguis (Three-toed box turtle), 861 nucleotides. The record is from the annotation of a RefSeq genome assembly. Lineage: Eukaryota; Metazoa; Chordata; Testudines; Emydidae.